UUUUUUAAUGUUUUAAAGGGAUUGUUUGGAAUUGCAACAUUUGAAGGAUUACAUUACAAAGGGUUACUCCUACCUUAACUUUAGUAAAACUCAUGUUUCUGCUCUAAUUUCAAUAUUCAAAACUAAAUUAGUUAGUCUGGUCCCUAUAUGGUUCCUGGUGCCUAAAAGGAAUCGAUAUAUUUUCUUCAAUUUCAUGCGUGUGUGUUUGUAUGAUUGAACCCAGGAAACGAUAUAAACACACACUACCAGAUGCAUCAAGAAAAAGACUGUCUCUCUCUCUGUGUGUGCAAUGUAUGUGUAUAUGAAGCGCAGCUGUGAUUAUUUUGUUUUCCUCUCUGUUUGAAAAACCACACUUGCUAAUGGGUGAAGCUUUUUCAUCACCUUCUUUUUUGCCCUUCUUCUCUAUCUUUACUUCUUUUCCUCGCUCCUCCUGUUUUCCACUGAACACUCUCUCUCUCCCUACUCUCUCUGUCUCAUCCCUGCGCAUCCUGCCUUGCCCAACCUUUCCGUCUCCAUCUCCCUUCCUCCACCUUUGUCCAUCCUCCCACCCCCCCUCCAUUUCUACCUCUGUAUCCCUCCCUCUCCUCUCUGCCACUUGCUCGUAGAUGCCAAAUCACGCCACAUGCUCUUCCUCUCUCUCUCUCUUUCUUUCUCCCUCUCUCUCUCAUGCGUCCUUACUCUUUCUCACCCCCGGCUUCGUUAGCUCUCCCUUCCCCUCGAUCGUUCGUCAGGCUCGGUGCCGUCAGCUGUCAGUUAUUUUUCCACCAUGGAGCAACAACUGGCUGCCCGUUGCACGUGAGAGAAAAACCAGCGAAGAGAGUCAAAGGAGGGAGGAGAACGGGGAGGGAGGAAGGGAGGGAGGAAAAGAAGUGGACACCAGGAGGAAAGGAGAUCUUUUGUUAAGCAUCCCUGCCCUCCUUCUUCUCCGGCAGCAUCAGCACCAGCAUCAGCACCACCGCCGCUUUCUCCUCCAUCACUGCUGGAUCCUCUAUCUCUUGCCAGGAUAUGCCUCCUAUUUCAUCCGUAGGGAGCUCCUUCCGGAACUGGGAGGGGUAGAGCGACCACCACUUUCCAGGUUUUCCAAGCUUUGCCAUGGACAAAGCACAGAGAAGGGGGAAAAAAUGAAAGAAAAAAAAUGUCAAGGAAGAACAGACAGAGGAAAGGGGAGGGAUUUUUUUAAAAAGAGACGCAUAGGGAAAGGAGAGGAAAGACAACACCCUGUGGAAAAGAGAAGAAUUAAAAAGAUGGGUCUGAGUGAGAGACUUGACCAUUACUGAUGGAUGAGGUGAUAUCCGAGACACUGAGGCAGCCUGACCGCUAGGCUCUGGCCUGGGAACCGUUGAUGGGUGACUCACCUGACGCUGAAGCAAGGCGUCUGCUAUUGAUGCCGCUUUCCCACGUUUCUCUGUUACUUUGCAUGUCUGUUUUGCCCGUGGAGCUUGAACAGAGGCUUCUUUGGGAGGUGGUCAUGCUGGUGGUGGUGAUGAUGAUGAUGAUGAUUAUGAGUUGGCAGCGUUGCUGCAGACGCGUUAUUUGGCUUAGCUCCGCCUGUUUACUGAAAGACUCUCUUCGGUGACGGGUAUUCUUGGGUGGAUAAUACGGAUCACGUUGUUAUUGCUUAAGAAUACGCGUAGUCGAGGAGAGUCCCCUUCAUCGACAGCCCUAGCUCCACCCCCAACCACCCCGACCACCCACCCACCCAUCCAGCUACCUCACCUCACCCUGACCUAAGCCUAUCUGCCCGAGAAGGACUGUCAGUGUUGGACGAAGCCACACCUCUGCUUUGAACCCUCCUUAAAAAGCCACGUUGGUUUCUUUUCUUUUCUUUUCU
Molecule: long non-coding RNA, 1831 nt
Organism: Cynoglossus semilaevis (tongue sole)
Lineage: Eukaryota; Metazoa; Chordata; Actinopteri; Pleuronectiformes; Cynoglossidae
Exons: 3
Source: RefSeq, a predicted model, not a curated record